RNAcentral lists this long non-coding RNA (453 nucleotides) under Ananas comosus (pineapple). Its description in RNAcentral is "long non-coding RNA (ACOM_LNC029863)". The record is from RNAcentral. Lineage: Eukaryota; Viridiplantae; Streptophyta; Magnoliopsida; Poales; Bromeliaceae.
AUUAAACGGCGAAUUUCGUAUUUUUCCCAAAAGUUUGAAAAAAAACGCGAUUUUUUCGUCAAAAAUUAUUAUUCGCGAAUUAAUCGCGAUUCGCGAACAAUUCGCCCAAAAAAUCGGCGAUCGCGGUCGCGGACUUGCGGCCGAGGGUCGCAUCGUCGCCGCUCUUGUCGCCGCUCGCGUCGCCGCCGGUCUCGUCGCCGCUCGCGUCGUCGCCGCCGCUCUCGUCGCCGCUCGCGUCGUCGUCGUCCUCCGCCGCCCUCGCCGGCGCCGGGAGCAAGGGCCGCGGCGGCGGAUCCCAUCUCCUCGUCCGAGUCGUCUCCAAAAUGGGAAAGAUGAACAGUAAAAAUUAUCGGGGCUUUGGGAGGUUGGGAUUGUGCGCGGUCCACGAGGCUAUUUCAGCCUCGUGGACCGCGUGAGGGGAGGUCCACACUCCACAGUGGACCUCCCUCUCAU